RNAcentral lists this ribosomal RNA (253 nucleotides) under uncultured bacterium. RNAcentral describes it as "partial 16S ribosomal RNA". It matches the Rfam family "Bacterial small subunit ribosomal RNA", at positions 524 to 776 of the family's 1533-position model. The record is from RNAcentral.
UACAGAGGCCUCGAGCGUUAGGCGGAAUCACUGGGCUUAAAGGGUGCGUAGGCGGGCAGGUAAGUCCGUGGUGAAAUCUCUGAGCUUAACUCAGAAACUGCCAUGGAUACUAUUUGUCUUGAAUAUUGUGGAGGUAAGCGGAAUAUGUCAUGUAGCGGUGAAAUGCUUAGAUAUGACAUAGAACACCAAUUGCGAAGGCAGCUUACUACACAGUUAUUGACGCUGAGGCACGAAAGCGUGGGGAUCAAACAGG